Molecule: long non-coding RNA, 2732 nt
Organism: Spinacia oleracea (spinach)
Lineage: Eukaryota; Viridiplantae; Streptophyta; Magnoliopsida; Caryophyllales; Amaranthaceae
Exons: 5
Source: RefSeq, a predicted model, not a curated record
UCUAAUUAGUUUUAAAGACAAAAGUUGAGCGGCUAUUCCCAUAUCUUGCUCGUCGUUAAUGCUCAAAAGAAGAAAAAAAACCCUAUACGACAUUUAUAAAAUUAUAAGGCAGAUUGGAAACCCCUCUUCCGUAUCUCUAACCUCUCGAAUUUGAGUUUGGAUGAAGCUUUACAAGAGAAAGACAAACAUCAUAAGGUGAAAAAAUGAAGAAAAUAAGAAUCUUACUGCUGAAGCUGAUAUUUCUCGAUGAUUGGGUUGUUUCAUAGAAGAGUGAUAUGGAGGGGAAUUAUCUAGAACUAGUUCAAUUGCAAUCAGGAAGCUUCAAAGGAUCUUUUAUUUCAUCCGGUGUUACAGAUCGUAGCACUAUUUCUAUUCAGAAGAACCAAUUCUGACAGCAAGCUAUAUUAAUGGACCUCGUUCUGAAUCUGUUAGGAAUUUUAAGUUCUGCAAGAUAACUUGUUGAUUGUGUAUUGGUGUCUCUUACUCUAACUCUGCUAUGUCAUAAUAAAUUAUAGAUUAAUGGGGCAGUCUUCCGUUGCUGAUAGAGCAAAAUAAGCGAGUAAAUCAACACGCACACUAACAAACAAACAUGCUUAUUUGUUGUAUUUGCAACUCCUGAUUUUAAUUUCCGUUUUAACUGUAAAUUUGCAGAUAAGUUGGAAUUUCUAGUUUAAUGCAUGGAAUUCCUAGUUAUUAAGUUUUUUGUAAGCUGUUAUUGUCGCUAUAUCUAGUAGUAACAUUUAGAUUGAUGUUGAUAAACCUAAUUUAUGGAUUUAUACUUGUAGUUGUAGUAUAUCAAAAGAAGAUUGGUCGGAGUUGAUGAAAUCGGGUUUGCUGUUAAAACCCAACUUGCUGUUAUGUUGGAAUUUCUAGUUUAAUGCAUGAAAAUCCUAUUUGUGGUUGUGACAUUUUUUAUUGAUGUUGAUAAACCUAUUUAUGGGUUAAUAAUUAUAGUUAGUAUGUCGAAAGAAUAUUGGUUAGAGUUGAUGAAAUCGGGUUUGUUCUAAAAAUACCAUUGGUGAUUUGCUUCUAAUUAGUGGCUGAAUUUUCUUGUGUACUGUAUUAAUUGAACUCUGUUUUGAAGUGUCGGAUUGAUGGAUUUGCUAGAUGUAGACGAAGAUAUGGAAUGUUUUUUUAAUUUUUUUGAGUAUGUUUGAUGGAAUAAACCCAAGUAUUCAUGUUCGUGUGAGGUUUUUAUUACACAUUGGACACAGUCAUGGGGUUGUAAUUGGAGAUUUGGAGCAAUAUACUAUAGUUGGUAUUUCGGGUUUAAUUAUCUGUUUGUUACGGGAUAUGGAUUGGACAUGAAUAUGGAUGUGAUUUAUGUGAGCGUCAAAUCUGGUGACUAUCAGGGAGGGCUCUCUUCUUUUGUUUUGUUUGUAUUGAAGUCUCCAAGUGUCAAUACUGUGUUGGUGUUUAAUGAUCUGACGAAUUUUACUUUUCGUUUGAUUUGAGACCGAGGAACAUGAAACAUUUUAGUGUGCCAAUCUUGGUUUCUUUAAGCAGCUUUUAAUACUUUAUGCUUUGUUUAGAUAUUGUAUAUCAUCUUGUUAAUACUUUAUGCUUUGUUUAGAUAUUGUAUAUUAUUUUGUUAUAUUUAUCUAUAGCAAGCUGCGAGUGCUUUAUUAGACCUUGAUCAGCUUCCGUCACUAAAACCUUCAAUAAGGCCAUUGAGUCAGUCUCUUGUAAAGGAUGGACUCGUUUCAUCAUAAAGACAAAGAUGUCAGACUACUAGUUGUUGUUUCUUCUGUGAAAUUAUUCGGGUCCUUAGACCUGACCCAUCAUUUGAGGAUAAAGAUUUUAAGGUAACCAUUUGUCUAUUUUACUCUGCUAUUUUACUCCGCCAUCUCCUAUUUCUACAGAUAAAGUUCUACACGAUAUGUUGUUGAGCAGCAAAGCUAAUAAUUUAAGACUUGAGGAUGGCAUAUGUGUAGACAUUUUGCCACCCUCCACUGACGGGCAAGGAAAUUCUAGAGAAGCUUUUAUUUUGAAGAAACUGGAACUACUUAAGAAAUAUGACACUUUAGAAGAUAACUUGGGUCAUAUGGAAUGACGACAGAAUCUUCGAGGCGGUGAGGCUUGGUUUAGAGAACUGCCAAAAGGAGUGCUUGAUUGUCUUUUCCCCGCGAUUUUUAACCGUCAAAAGGCCGGGUAAACCAAAUUGCGGAUGAGUGGAGGAUGCUGGAAAAAGAUUUUCCAGAAUACAAUGUUGUUUCUCCUCUUGCUGCUGAGUUGUUUGCUUUGAUGGAAGGAAUGUCUACUGCUAAGAAGUUUAACAUCCCCAAUUUGGAGGUUGAAAUGGAUGCCAAAUCUCUUAUGAUCAUGUUGGAUACUGCUGGUAGCUAGUAAUCCAAAUCAUGAGCUUGCGUAUUUGAUCAACAACAAAGACUAUAUUGUAGUGGUGCUGCAUAUUCCUAGAGAGCGCAACUUGGUAGCUCAUCAGCAGUUGGACACAUGCAACACUUCACUGUUCCAGAUUGCGCAAGACUUGCUUAUGCAUCUGAUAUGGAGCAUGUGGGUUCAAGCUCGAACUAAUCUUCUCUGCUUUAACAUAGAUUAUCUUUUGUGUAACUUCUUUUGCUGUUCUAGGCGGUUCAAGGGUGGUCUUUUGCUGUAUUAUAAUCCUCCUUGUUGGUUUAAUGCUCUACUCGCCCAUUGUAUAUUUUGCCACUGAAACUUUGAUGGCUCCUACUACUGUAACAAACUCCUAAUUUUAUUCUAAUAUAAGUCUC